RNA transcript from Folsomia candida, 4884 nucleotides. It is a transcript of the gene named basic salivary proline-rich protein 2, with no coding region annotated. The record is from RefSeq and is a predicted model, not a curated record. The transcript has 6 exons. Lineage: Eukaryota; Metazoa; Arthropoda; Collembola; Entomobryomorpha; Isotomidae.
GGAUUGCCUUUCGCAAUUAUGUAAAACCAUGACAAAUCCACCAAAGACCUUGAUAGAUAAACUAUUGUGCAAUUUAUACUCGGAAGAUGGAUUUAUUCGAAAAAUAAGUUUCCAAGGGUUAAAUUAUAUUUACCAGGGUGGGACCAGGGAUGUAGCUUUUCUCGAAUAUCUUGAUAACUUGCAUGGAAAAAUUUUGAGUUUAGUGGCAAAAAGUGAAAUAACGUCGACAAUGUUAGAAGCAUUUGACAAAUACAAUUUAUCUCAAUUUCAAUUAAAUUUACUGCAAACGUUUGUUUCUUGUGAUUUUUUGGAUUUGGAAGUUAUCUCACUGGUGAACGAAAAUUGGUGGCCAUUUCAUCUCCUAGUUUCAAACUUGAUGAUGAAGUUCACUAGCAAGGAAGUCGAAAAGAUAGAUUUUUUGAGAAAGUUUUAUGAACUGAAAGAUUGGGCGGGAAGCGAGGAGGCGGCGCACAAAAUGGCCGAUCUACUAACUACAUGUUUUAGCUUCAAGACUUGUCCGGAUGAUUUACCUGGUGCAAUAGACAUUAUACUUUCACUAAGGUAUGAAGAAGUAGAAGAAUUUCUUCAUCUUAGAUCUAGCACUUGGGUAACAACGCUGUACAAGCUUUCUUUGAAACGUUUAAUUAGCGGGAAACUUCAGGAAAAUUUUAGUAAAGCCGGGGAUAAUUUAAAUGACUUUAUUUCGAAAAACCUACCUUUCCCCUUAGCGGUAAAAUUGGUCAGAUCGGUUAAAAAGAUAGAUGAUGUUUCAAAGCUUUACGACGUUCUGAAACUUUGCAAAAACCAUUUAGCCGACAUGGAAGAUCAAGUAGAUUUCAAUGCUUGUGUUAACAUUUCCGACUUAAAAUUACAGGUGGAACAAUACAUUUUACAACGUCUCAUAAAAACUUACUGUUUACAUGGCGGUAAUGCUCGAGAUGCGGCAAUUUUGAAAAGAAACAUUGGUUUGAUUCAUAGUGGAGGAAUUUCGUUUCAAGCUGUAGUCGACAUAUUGCAAUUUGGAAAGAUAUCGAUAGAUCGUAAUUGUAGAAAAUCUUGGGGACAGGUUGUGCGUGUAAUGGCAGAAAGUUGGGCUGGCGAAGAGACGAUUUUUGAAGUUUUGAAAAAGUUGGGGCAAACUGAGGAAAAGUUUUGGAUUCAGGAAGCUCGGCAACUAACCUUGUCGACAUCUUCCGGCUUUCUGGGAAAGGGAAGAAAACAAAUGUCUGAAAUCCUGGAGCACCUCGAACUUAAAAAUGUGGACAAGUCCCAGCUUGCCGCUACAUUUGAGAAUUGCGUUAAAAUGGGAAUUUACAAAUCGAGAUAUUGUUAUGCAGGGUUGGAAAAAGUUAUUGGCGAGUGGACAAUCUCUGACGUUAAGAAAUGGGCGAAAAUGGUAAACAUGCGUUUUCGAAUGGUAAUGUUAGAACUGGAUAAAGAAUUUGCGAUCGAAGCACUUUCCGUGGCGUACAGAGCCUUCUAUUUGCACAGUAAUUUCCAAUUAACUGCGGUCCAAAUUGUUUCAAUUUAUACCGGAUUGGUGAAAGGUUUACAAGGUCAGAUCCAACAGGUCGCUACAGGCUCAGGCAAAUCGACCAUAAUUGCGAUCCUUGCCGCAAUAAACGCUUUACGUGGCUUGAAGGUUGACAUAUUCACCAGCAAUCCAAUCCUAGCAGAGAGAGACGCCAUCUCGUGGUCACCAUUUUAUGCUAUGUUUAACCUCUCCUGUUCUCAUAAUGUGGAUUCCGGAAUUUAUCUUAAGGGUCCAAAACAUUGUUACAAGUCGCAUAUCGUUUAUGGAGAAACGUCUCAAUUCCAAUUCGACUUUCUCCGCGAUCAUUACAGCGGUUUAGGUACUUUGGCUGGAAGAAAGCAUCAGUUCGCCUUAAUUGAUGAAGCGGACAGCUUAUUGAUUGACGAUCUUAAUAAGAUAGCUAGACUCUCGUCACCAAUCCCUGGCAUGGACUGUCUUCAAAUUUUGUAUCAUUUAACAUACCAUCGAUUGGCGACACUUGAAAAGAGGUUUUUAGCUUUUGAAUCAUUCAUGUUGUAUGUGGAAGGGAAACUUACCAGAUUAGAUAGUGGGCUAAUCUCGUUGCAACUUGCGGAUAAGUCGAGUGGAGAAUUGUUAGAAAUUCCAGACUUGUUGGGAUACAUUAAAUCAGGUAGAUCAUUGUCUGAAGCAGGAAUUAUUAUUGUUGAUGACAUAGAAAAGUUUGUAAAGGGGCAUCUCACCAAUUUUCUGAAAGCACUUAUCACAGAUGAACUACCUCCACCCGGAUUUGAGGUCAGAGCUGAAGACAAGAUAAAAAUCCCCAAGUGCAUGACAGUCUUUGUGCAGAAUCAAAUUCCGAAAUGGGUCGAUAAUUGCAUAACGGCAUUUAACUAUUCUGAAAACAAACACUAUGUCGUAGAUAACGGCGAGAUCAAACCAGUCGAUUACAAUACGACUGGAAUCAUAAAUAAUUCUACCGCAUGGAGUGACGGACUUCAUCAAUUUCUUCAGAUCAAGCAUAACCUGAAACUUACAUCGGAAACGGUGACGACAAAUUUUCUCUCAAACAUAUCACUAUUUCGAAAAUAUAGAAGAACCAUAUUUCCCGCGGAGAGGUCAGAAUCUUCAAGUGUGAAAGAUAAUUUUACCUUUGUUGAACACAACAUUAUCGGCUUUACUGGCACGAUAGGAUCCACACAUGCGCAGAAUGUUAUCCAAAAUCUGUAUAACAUUACCCCAAUCAAAAUGCCGUCAGCCUAUCACCACUUAUACGUCCAGUAUCCAGACAUCCUGGUUCCGACAGAAAGGCAGUGGCUGCACGAAAUUACUGCGUCUGCGCUACAUCAUGCCCACCAUGGUAGGAGGGGAGUCCUCAUAAUUUGUGAAACCAUAGGCGACGCGAUGCUAAUAUAUGACGGAAUUAAGGCAACAAAUAUGUCAUUCGUUGUUAAAUUGUACACACAAAAUAAUUCCAAUCAAGAAACCACAAUUGCCAAAAUUUAUCCGGGAGAAAUCUUCAUUGCCACAAAUCUUGCCGGGCGAGGGACCGAUAUUAAUGCGCAUGACGUAGAAAAAUUUGGCGGUUUACAUGUUUGCCUCACAUUUGUGCCGAAUAACGUUCGCGUCGAGGAGCAAGCUUUCGGUCGAACAAGCCGACAAGGGCAAUUGGGUUCAGGACAGUUAAUUUGUCGAAGUGGGCUUACUACCGGAAUUGAGUUAAGGAAAUUAAGAGAUUUAGAGCAAGAAACGCAUUUAGAUGAAUAUCUUCAAACUGAGUUACCAAUCGUUUUAGCGAAGGAUGAAUGCUUUUCUCACUUUUGCAAAUUAUUACAUGAUUUUCGCGCCAAGUUGAAAACCACAUAUCGUCCAGGUUACGUAACCACAGCAAAGAAUAUUUGGAAUUAUAGUCCCACAAUUAGUGAAAGCGUCAUAAUUCAAGCCUUAGAAGAAAGAUGGUCCUUUUUCGUGUGCCAAAUCGACCACGGAAUAAUUUCAAGUGAAAUAGCAUUAGCUAGUUACUACUUGUUGGAACGGCGAAUUAAAAAGCAAUACGAGGUCGGAAGUUUGAUUCGUAGCCCGUUUUACUACAUUAUGCUAGGAAACGACUUUCUUGGGAGGGAUUCAAAAUGGAAAAAUUUUUUAGAAGAUGCUAAAACCUGUUACAAGAAAGCAAUCGACCUCGAUAAAGAUUUUUCCACAGCAGGUUUCGUUGGGUUAGGUUAUGUAGCUUUGAAAGGCACGAUGCACGCGGUACGGAAGAAUACGCACGAAUUCAACUACAGGACUAAAGCCAUUGGAUACUUAACGGAAGCACUGCCACUGCAAUGGAAAAUUUGGUAAUAUUGUGGGAGGUUUUGGAUAUCGUGGAAAGACCGGAAUAGCACGAGUACACCCAGAACAGAUUGACAAGGUUAUCAGGGAUAACGCCAGUCAAAUCUGGUCAGCUAGGGACCCAGAAUUUUGCGGAUAAGGAAAAAUGCCGGGAACUUGGCUUAGCCGGCUAGCAGUCCUGACCUAAAUCCCAUGAAGAAUUUUUGGGCCAACUUCUCGCGUCGGGUGGGCGUCAAUUUCGAACCAAAAAGGGAUUUGAGCAAAUGAUGCAUGGCGGAUGGGCAAAUAUCCUGCUGGAGACCCUUCAGCACUUCAAUAACUCAAUGAAGCGACGAAUAUUCGCGUUAAUUCUAGCUAAGAAAGAUUUCUCAUUGCAAAAAUGCUUCUCAAAAUUCCAUAUAAUUCAGAAGUUCCGUCAAUUCUUCUCGUUCUGAUCACAUUAUGUAACCACUUACAAGCAGCUCCACCGAAUAAUCUAAUUCAAAACAAGCAACCCAGACAAGAUAGUAGCGUCGAAUCUGCUGCUGGUGUUGGCGAAGGUACUCAACAAACCCUGGACGGCGUCGCGGUCAUCCUGGCGUCAAUUUUCAAAGGAAUCGCCGACAUUCCCGUGAGCGCUAUCAAUGCCGUCAUCCGUCCACAACAGCAACAACAAGGAAUUCCUGUCAUGAUCGGGAACAGCGUGGCAGCCCAGCCAAUCCAAAAUACGCAAAGAUUCCAACCAAAUCCCCAACUUCAAAGUUCCCAAGUGCAAAAUUUGCAACCUAACCAAAAUUCGCAACUUUAUCAAACUCAACCAAUUCAAGUCGUCCCUGUACAACCUCAGCAAAUUCAGUACGUCAACCCAAUCGUGAUUACGUCACCCCCACAAGAACAACGACCAGCCCCCACUCUUCUCCCAAGAACGGCACCCCCAACAACAACAGGAUCCGAUGAUGACGCCGAUGCCACCACGACCGACGACAUAGACGAGGAUGCCGACGCAGAGUCGGAAAAUUAAAAUUAAAAUUAUAUCGUUUUUUACAUUAAAUAAAUCAUGCCAGAUUUUUGCAAAAAAA